RNAcentral lists this non-coding RNA (241 nucleotides) under Terrisporobacter othiniensis. RNAcentral describes it as "Lysine riboswitch aptamer". It matches the Rfam family "Lysine riboswitch aptamer". Rfam says of the family: Riboswitches are metabolite binding domains within certain messenger RNAs that serve as precision sensors for their corresponding targets. Allosteric rearrangement of mRNA structure is mediated by ligand binding, and this results in modulation of gene expression. This family includes riboswitches that sense lysine in a number of genes involved in lysine metabolism, including lysC. The record is from Rfam by way of RNAcentral. Lineage: Bacteria; Bacillati; Bacillota; Clostridia; Peptostreptococcales; Peptostreptococcaceae. RNAcentral also lists the same sequence under 1 other name.
ACCUAAGGUAGAGGUGCUGUACUUAAUAGUACUAAUAUAUAGCUGGCGAGCAAUUAUAUGUUGGGAAAGGAAUUAUGGCCGAAGGUAAUUUAUAGGCAUAUGAAUUAUCUGGACUUAUGCAAAAUAUGUAUAAGGCUGUCACUUUUAUUCGUAGAAGCAAAUAUAACAAUAGACCUGUUUUCACGUCUGUUGGUUAUAUGAGCAAAACGGAUUUUUCUAUAAGUGUUGAGCUACAAGGUUU